Molecule: long non-coding RNA, 774 nt
Filed under: Nicotiana tabacum (common tobacco)
Lineage: Eukaryota; Viridiplantae; Streptophyta; Magnoliopsida; Solanales; Solanaceae
Description: long non-coding RNA (NTAB_LNC006110)
Source: RNAcentral
CAAAACAAACCGCCAAAGUUACUUUGGAUCCUUUUCAAGACAGAUAAACAAGAACUGGGGCAGUAAAUCAAACAGUUAAGCUGCAUUUCAGAUCUACAGUGGAAAAAAGGUACUCUCCUCUGCUAAAGGCAGAUCUACAAUUUUAAGUCGUUCUCUGUAGAAUAUUACUUUAUUCACUUCUGGUUUAUGCCAACAUAUGCGGAUUUAGUGUGUAUGUGUGUGUAAUUGUUCAAAACUAUAGAGUUUAACCAGAAUUUUUAGAAACAGCAAAGAAGCCAAUUAUAUAAUAGUUGCUUUUUGUUCCCUUGUAAGAUUUGAAAGCCAAAGCAAAACACUAACUUUUCCUCUUUUUUGUUUUGUUUUCUGAGCAGUGGAGUUUUGAAGCUAAGGAAAAAUGGCAGGAAAAGGAGGGAAAGGGCUAGUAGCGGGGAAGACAACAGCUGCAGCGGCUGCUAACAAAGACAAAGACAAGAAAAAGCAGCCUAUCUCUCGUUCUUCUCGUGCUGGCCUCCAGGUAAAUACAUAGUUUUACUUAGUUAAGAGCAGAUCUUGUCUGAUUUUUAUAGGAUUUGAAAUUGCUGUUGGAAGUAUUUGUAUAUUGAGGUUAAUGAACAGCUGUAAAGUUAAAAAAAAAUAAAAUAAAAAUUCUGAAGUCUUGCAUGGUUCUAUGGAGGUUUUUACUUUUUAGAAUUGCUUUCAAAUUCAUAGUUUGGCUGCUUGUUCUAUUCCAUUGUGUAUGCAACAUUUAUAUAUAGUCUCCUAAAAUAGUGGUGG